GGACAAGUCUAACCUAGCAAGUCUUUUACUUAGCACUUUUAUUCGAAAGUUCCAUAAAGAUCAGUCACAUAUGAUUUAAACUGCGUCAGCAUCUGCCAAAGCCGCAAAUCACUUAUACGACUUACCGGAUGGGAACUAAGACGUCAACUUAAGCUGGGGAUGAUGUAAGGAGAAUAAAGAUGAAGCUGAGGUGACAAGCACGUUGGGACACAGUGCCUUCCAUAAAAAAUACUCAUAAUAAAGGGAAUUUUAGUUUUUGCACAGCUA
Molecule: long non-coding RNA, 267 nt
Organism: Drosophila biarmipes
Lineage: Eukaryota; Metazoa; Arthropoda; Insecta; Diptera; Drosophilidae
Exons: 2
Source: RefSeq, a predicted model, not a curated record